Molecule: ribosomal RNA, 637 nt
Filed under: uncultured fungus
Lineage: Eukaryota; Fungi
Description: eukaryotic LSU rRNA
Rfam family: Eukaryotic large subunit ribosomal RNA
Source: RNAcentral
CCCGCUGAACUUAAGCAUAUCAAUAAGCGGAGGAAAAGAAACUAACAAGGAUUCCCCUAGUAACUGCGAGUGAAGCGGGAAAAGCUCAAAUUUAAAAUCUGGCGGCUCUUUGCCGUCCGAGUUGUAAUUUAGAGAAGCGUCUUCCGCGCCGGACCGUGCACAAGUCUCCUGGAAUGGAGCGUCAUAGAGGGUGAGAAUCCCGUCUUUGGCAUGGAUCCCUGGUGCUUCUGUGAUGCGCUCUCGAAGAGUCGAGUUGUUUGGGAAUGCAGCUCAAAAUGGGUGGUGAACUCCAUCUAAAGCUAAAUAUUGGCGAGAGACCGAUAGCGAACAAGUACCGUGAGGGAAAGAUGAAAAGCACUUUGGAAAGAGAGUGAAACAGUACGUGAAAUUGUUGAAAGGGAAACGCUUGAAGUCAGUCGCGUCGACCGAGACUCAGCCUUGCCUUGGCUUGGUGUACUUCUCGGCCCGACGGGUCAGCAUCAAUUUUGCCCCUCGGAUAAUGGCAAGGGAAAGGUGGCACCUUUACGGGUGUGUUAUAGUCUCCUGUCGCAUGCGAGGGGUGGGAUUGAGGAACUCGGCGCUUCACGCGUCCAGGAUGCUGGCAUAAUGGCUUUAAGCGACCCGUCUUGAAACACGG